GAUGAACGCUGGCGGCGUGCUUAACACAUGCAAGUCGAACGGAAAGGCCCAAGCUUGCUUGGGUACUCGAGUGGCGAACGGGUGAGUAACACGUGGGUGAUCUGCCCUGCACUUCGGGAUAAGCCUGGGAAACUGGGUCUAAUACCGGAUAGGACGAUGGUUUGGAUGCCAUUGUGGAAAGUUUUUUCGGUGUGGGAUGAGCUCGCGGCCUAUCAGCUUGUUGGUGGGGUAAUGGCCUACCAAGGCGUCGACGGGUAGCCGGCCUGAGAGGGUGUACGACCACAUUGGGACUGAGAUACGGCCCAGACUCCUACGGGAGGCAGCAGUGGGGAAUAUUGCACAAUGGGCGCAAGCCUGAUGCAGCGACGCCGCGUGGGGGAUGACGGCCUUCGGGUUGUAAACUCCUUUCGCUAGGGACGAAGCGUUUUGUGACGGUACCUGGAGAAGAAGCACCGGCUAACUACGUG
RNAcentral lists this ribosomal RNA (467 nucleotides) under uncultured bacterium. RNAcentral describes it as "partial 16S ribosomal RNA". It matches the Rfam family "Bacterial small subunit ribosomal RNA", at positions 28 to 507 of the family's 1533-position model. The record is from RNAcentral.